UACGAAGGGGGCUAACGUUGUUCGGAAUUACUGGGCGUAAAGCGCGUGUAGGCGGCCCUGCAAGUCGGGUGUGAAAUCCCACGGCUCAACCGUGGAAGUGCACUCGAAACUGCAGGGCUAGAGUCCUGGAGAGGAAGGUGGAAUGCUUGGUGUAGAGGUGAAAUUCGUAGAUAUCAAGCGGAACACCGGUGGCGAAGGCGGCCUUCUGGACAGUGACUGACGCUGAGACGCGAAAGCGUGGGGAGCAAACAGG
RNAcentral lists this ribosomal RNA (253 nucleotides) under uncultured bacterium. RNAcentral describes it as "partial 16S ribosomal RNA". It matches the Rfam family "Bacterial small subunit ribosomal RNA", at positions 524 to 776 of the family's 1533-position model. The record is from RNAcentral.